Molecule: ribosomal RNA, 229 nt
Filed under: uncultured bacterium
Lineage: Bacteria
Description: partial 16S ribosomal RNA
Rfam family: Bacterial small subunit ribosomal RNA
Source: RNAcentral
CGGACGGGUGAGUAUGUCUGGGAAACUGCCCGAUGGGAGGGGAUAACUACUGGAACGGUAGCUAAUACCGCAUAACGUCGCAAGACCAAGACGGGGACCUUCGGGCCUCUUGCCAUCGGAUGUGCCCAGAUGGGAUUAGCUAGUAGGUGGGGUAACGGCUCACCUAGGCGACGAUCCCUAGCUGGUCUGAGAGGAUGACCAGCCACACUGGAACUGAGACACGGUCCAG